UACGGAGGAUGCAAGCGUUAUCCGGAUUUAUUGGGUUUAAAGGGUGCGUAGGCGGAGAAAUAAGUCAGCGGUGAAAGUUUGAGGCUCAACCUUAAAAUUGCCGUUGAAACUGUUUUUCUAGAGUGUAAAUGAGGUAGGCGGAAUGCGUGGUGUAGCGGUGAAAUGCAUAGAUAUCACGCAGAACCCCGAUUGCGAAGGCAGCUUACUGGGAUACAACUGACGCUGAAGCACGAAAGCGUGGGGAUCAAACAGG
Molecule: ribosomal RNA, 253 nt
Filed under: uncultured bacterium
Lineage: Bacteria
Description: partial 16S ribosomal RNA
Rfam family: Bacterial small subunit ribosomal RNA
Source: RNAcentral